Molecule: unclassified non-coding RNA, 494 nt
Filed under: Hevea brasiliensis (rubber tree)
Lineage: Eukaryota; Viridiplantae; Streptophyta; Magnoliopsida; Malpighiales; Euphorbiaceae
Source: RNAcentral
AAGUGGGAAGAACUGUCUAUGGUUUUGGAUUGGAUAUGGUGUCAAGCCUAUGAGUGUGUUCUUUAACAAGGCCCAUCAAAGAAGGAUUCUCCCUAGGCGCUUUGCGCUCUCCAGAUCUCUAACAGUUUGCUUAUCUAAUGUAGUUUGUUUGCAAUGGGUUUAUAAAUGUUAUAGUUUUGGUUUAUCGGCAUUUCUUAUUCCCAAUUUUGUUUGGUUACGACAUCCCUUACAGCUACUUGUUCUACUUUCUGUCUUUGAUCAGUCGUCUCAUCUUUUCCACAAAUUUAGAAUUUAAUUUUUCCCUUCAUGGUUACUUUCCCCAUUUGCUUUGCUUAAUUUCUUUAUCCCUUUGCUCUAUAACCCAUGAGUUAUGAAAUUGUUUAAUUUUCACUCAGCUAGCCACAAUUGUUUAUCUAUCAACUGAUUCUAUAUAUUUUCUGAUAAAUUCUUGCUAAUGUUUCUGCACUAGUUGUUGAAUAUUAAUGUAUAAGGAA